Molecule: long non-coding RNA, 714 nt
Organism: Drosophila montana
Lineage: Eukaryota; Metazoa; Arthropoda; Insecta; Diptera; Drosophilidae
Exons: 2
Source: RefSeq, a predicted model, not a curated record
AGUAUAAAAAUCAUAUAUGUUUUUAAAAUACAUUCGUAAACUUAGAAGCAUGCGUUGCAGCAUAGACUUUUAAAAUUUUAUAACAGGUUCGCUACUAAAUUAUAAUUUUUUGUUCAUCAUGUCCGAGAAUGAAGGAAGUCUUACUAGAAGAAUUGCAUUUGUCAAUCCAAAUGAUUUGGACCUAACCGAUUGCUGCCGAAUCUGCAAAUGUAGAGCAACUGUGGAAAAUGGAAUCAAAUUGCGUCCACUUUUUAAUGGCCGUCGUUUAACACGCAUUAUAGCCAAUACGGUACACAUCGAGAUUAAAGAUGUUCAGGGCUUGCCACGUUUUCUUUGCGAGAAGUGUUUGACCAUUUUGAAAACCUUUUCCAUUUUUCAAGUGGAUUUCCGACGUUCCGAAGAGGAAUUUAAGAUGGCAAUCGAGGCACGCAGGACUUAUCAGAUGGACACCUUAAUUGAAUUUUCCACUGCCAUCGAAAUGGAAAAGCAAAGGGAAAACGAUCAAAAAAACGCGGCACUUGUUACAAAUUUCCUUAAGAAGGCGAAGAAGACUAGCAAAUCGAAAUCGAAACUUCAAAAUUGAGUAUUGAGCAACUAGUUAAUUUGUUUGGCAUUAGUUUUUAUGUAUUUAAUUUUUUUUUGAUUUUACAAACACUUGUCAUUUUCAAUUUUUAAUACACAAUUUUUCAAUAAAUUCAACAGCUAGGUUUGAAA